GACGAACGCUGGCGGCAUGCUUAACACAUGCAAGUCGAACGGAAAGGCCCUGCUUUUGUGGGGUGCUCGAGUGGCGAACGGGUGAGUAACACGUGAGUAACCUGCCCUUGACUUUGGGAUAACUUCAGGAAACUGGGGCUAAUACCGGAUAGGAGCUCCUGCUGCAUGGUGGGGGUUGGAAAGUUUCGGCGGUUGGGGAUGGACUCGCGGCUUAUCAGCUUGUUGGUGGGGUAGUGGCUUACCAAGGCUUUGACGGGUAGCCGGCCUGAGAGGGUGACCGGCCACAGUGGGACUGGGAUACGGCCCAGACUCCUACGGGAGGCAGCAGUGGGGAAUAUUGCACAAUGGGCGGAAGCCUGAUGCAGCAACGCCGCGUGCGGGAUGACGGCCGUCAGGUUGUAAACCGCUUUCGCCUGUAACGAAGCGUGAGUGACGGUAAUGGGUAAAGAAGCACCGGCUAACUACGUG
RNAcentral lists this ribosomal RNA (468 nucleotides) under uncultured bacterium. Its description in RNAcentral is "partial 16S ribosomal RNA". It matches the Rfam family "Bacterial small subunit ribosomal RNA", at positions 28 to 507 of the family's 1533-position model. The record is from RNAcentral.